AGUACCAAUACCACCAAUUUUGUAGACAUCUGGAGGGGCAGACGCAAGGGCUUGUCAGUUGGACGAGUAGGUGGCAGAAUGCAAUCCAGAGCUUCAAGCAGUGUGGUUCCACUCGGAAGAGCACACAUCUGACUUCAGCUCAAGUCAUGAUCUUGU
Long non-coding RNA from Leopardus geoffroyi (Geoffroy's cat), 156 nucleotides. RefSeq lists it as uncharacterized. The transcript has 4 exons. Lineage: Eukaryota; Metazoa; Chordata; Mammalia; Carnivora; Felidae. The record is from RefSeq and is a predicted model, not a curated record.